GGUCAAAAAAAACCUUGGGAUUGCUAAAUUAAAGAUGAAAUAAAUAAAAAGAUAUAAAGCAAUAGAACCAUCAUAGUGUUUUUGACUUCUAUCAAAGGAAGGGUGGUAAAUGGAUCAUUCAAUGAUCUGGAUCAAAUGGAUUUUAUUUUUCUCGAGUACCUUUGUCCCGUUCUUUCCAAACGGAGGGGAAAAGGUCAAUUCCAUUGUGCAGCCAUAUGCAAUGUACAAAAGAUGCAUAUAUGGUUGUUCAAUUCUAUCUUUUUAUUAUUUGUUAUUUUUCCUUACAUUCAACCAAUCAUGUAAGAUAGACAAGCCAUUUAUGAUUGAUGUUAUAUAAUCCAAGUUAUGAUUCACCAACCUACUAGUUCUUUUUAUGAGGCACAAGCAGGGGAAUUCAUCUUGGAAGCAAAAGAGCUUCUGAAACUUUACAAAACCCUCAUAAGGGUUUAUGUGCAAAGAACCAGUAACCCCUUAUGGAUUGUAUCUGAAGACAUGGAAAAAGAUGUUUUUAUGUCAGCAAUGGAAGCCCAAGCUUAUGGCAUUAUUAAUCUUGUGGCAGUCAAAAAUACGUAGGAUUUCACAUAAAUCCAUGAUUACAUUUCAAACAAAGGGUUAUUUGAAUUUUCCGUAAGUUGACAUUAAAUAUUUUUUAUUUUAUCCAAUUAAAAUAUUUAUUCAAUUGAAGGGAAAUAAUCCAUAAUUAUCNNNNNNNNNNNNNNNNNNNNACUUUAAACUUUAAAUUAUAUAAAAAAAUUAUAAAUUAUGAAAUAAUAAAAUUUAUAUACAAUGUAUCAUAUAAUGAAAUAAUGGAAAAUUUAUUAAUCUAAUAAAUUAAUUAAAUCAAUAUUUCACGGGCAAAUAGUGACUCUUUUCUGCUUUAUUUGCAGGGUAAACCCAUAACUAUUUUAGAAAAUUUUAAUUGGUUCCUAGUCUGUUCUGCCAUCCCACCCAAUGAAUCAUUAGGAUUCAUUUUCAAUAGAAUCCUUUGUGGUCAUGGGUUUUGCUAUUUCCAAAGCUUCUCUAUUAAUGAUUAGGCUUGAACUCGACAAUGGAGCUCUUGACAAAAUUUGUUUCAGAGUCAAUCUCCUUAGUUUUUAUUAACCUAGGGCUCUUUACUUGUUUUAGUAUUGAUGCUUUAUCACACUGUCUUUUAUAAUAUAAAAUUUUUCAUAAACCAUACAAAUUGGAAUAGCAUAUCAUUAAUAUUUUGUUCUUUCUAUCUAUCAUCCUUCAAUUUAUCUAUACAUCCCCUUCCUUUUUAUUUUAUUCAAAUCUGUAAUCCAUUAAUUUCUAUGGAAAAAUUUGCAAUUGCUAAAACUAUAUAAUCAAUACCUCAUAUAGUGACUGUUCGAGGGAUCUAGACAAUAGGAAGCCAUAAGUUGGUUAGUUGUUUCUAUAGUUAUGAGUUUUUAUAGUUACUAGUUCAUAGUAAGAGUCAGUCUUUAUCCUAACUCUAAAGAAAAACUAAGACAACGAGUCACACACUAAGCAUAACAAUUCGACUAAAAAGGUAAAUCAAAUUUUUAUUUAUCCCUAUAGAAUUAAGUUGAUGUUUGAUUGAGUCAAAAAAGUAAAAUUAAACACUUUGUUAUUUUUUAUUCUAUUACUCGAUAGAAUGGUAAGACAACUAAAGAUCUAUUAUUUCCCAUCUACAAAUAUCCAAAUUUUUAUACCUAAUACUCCAUAGAGAGUUUGAACUAUAUAGGAACAAUAGACAAUUUUAUCUCAAAUGGUUUGUAGAGGAACCCUUCUCUAAUCCACUCGACAUGUGUAAUUUCUUUUUCGUUGAUACGUCUUGCAAUUUGCACUUGAAUUCCUUUUGUAUUUGUUUGUUCAGUUAAUUUAAUAGCUUUUUUCACUGCUUUUCAAAAUGAAACUCUAUUUUUUAAUUUUAAAGCUAUGUAUUCUACUAGAAUAUUAUGUUGUCAAUAAGGUUUUUCAACUCUUGUGAUAGUAAUAUUAAGUCGUCAGUUGACAGAAUUCAACUCUUUUUAUACAUUCACUUGUAAUUCUUCAAUUCUUUGUCUUAGACCCUCUAUUAAUAAAUUAGGAAAUCCAAUAUGAAUUACUACUUAAAUAAGAUCAAUUCCUUUUUGUAUUUUUAUACGUGCAAUUUCUUCAAAACUCGAGGAUAUUCUCAUAUUUUUUGUACAUAAUUCUUCAUAUAGUCCCAUAUUUUUUUCAUCUUCUUGGAGACCAAUAGAAAAACUCUCUUUUUUCCAAUCUAGUUACUCCACCACCGUGAACUCCAGUUAGAUUUGGUUAUGAUAUACUUUUGAUUUAUUGGGAGAACCUAAGUACUCUCAUGUGGAUCCAUAAAACAACUCUUAGAAAUAUUUUUCCCUUUUGCAAGAUAUAGGAGGGAAACAAUCAACCGAUUGAUAUUGGAAGACCAAAAAGAUUCUUCCAAUGCCUCAUUUCUAGGCCCAAUAGAAUUCAUAUGUAUAGGAAGAAGGCCCAUGAAAUAGAUAUUUUUUCUUUUGACCAUUUUUCAAUUAUUAAUAUGAGAUAUAAGGACUACUACUACAAACAAUACUACACCUUUGAUCGUGAAAUAUCGAUUGUUUGUUGAAUCCUAUGAAUCACAUGAAAGUAGGAUACUCAAAAUUCGGGGGUCAAAGAGUUUCAUAAAAUGUUCUUGGUGGAAAAAAAUGUGAGUGAAAGAUCCCACUGAAUCAAAUUUGAUCCAUGAAUCUAAGAAAUAGUGAGAAUUCUUGAUCUCUCUCAAUACCUCUUUGAAUUCAAAGAUCCAAAAUUUGAAUUGAUGUCAUUUCAUUGAUACCUCCUAAAGAUUUCAUUUCAAUUGGAAUUUAGUUAUUCAUGAUGUAUGAUGAUCCAUGUUAAGCAUCCAUGGCUGAAUGGUUAAAGCACCCAACUCAUAAUUGGCAAAUUCAUAGGUUAAAUUCUUGUUGGAUGCACGUCAAUGAGAUCGUUCAAUUUAAUAAGUCUAUUGGAAUUGGCUUUAUAUUAAUAGAAUCUCAUCAUCCAUACAUAACAAAUUGGUAUGGUAUAUUUAUAUCAUAACAUAUGAACAAUAAGAACUAGAAUUCUUAUUGAUAUUGGAAACUCAUAGGGAAGAAAAUGGAUUUAUGGAUGGAAUCAAAUGUGUAGUAUUUACAAAAAAAUGUAUUCGUAUUGGGGAACAAUCAAUAUACUUCUAAUGUCUAAUCAAGAUCAACUAGGAUAAAAAUAAAGCAUUGGGUCAAACUCUUCUUUGGUGUCAAGUUAAUAGCUAUGAAUAGUCAUUGACUCUCAAGAAAGGGUGGAAAAAGGGGACCUAUUAUCAAACAUACAAUGCAGUAUAGAUGCAUGAUCAUUACGCUUCAACCGGGUUAUUUUAUUCCACCUCUUAUAGAAAAAAAACUUAAAGGAAAAUACUUAAUAACACGACGAUACAUUUAUAUAAACGUUCUACCCCGAGCACAUGCAACGGAACCGUAGAUAGAAAAGUGAAAUCCAAUCUAUGAAAUAAUUUGAUCUAUGGACAGUAUCAUUGUGGUAAGGGUCAUAAUGUUAGAGGAAUCGUUACUGCAGGACAUAGAGGGGGAGGUUAUAAGUGUCUUUUAUGUUCCUCAGGGUCAUCACUCCUACGAGAAUAAAAGGGUCCGUAGAGCAAAUUUUGUUCGUGCCUUCUGGGGAUGAAUAUGAUAGCGUCUCCAUGGCUCGCAGGGUCUUCUCGCCCAAUGCUCAAGGUUCCCAUCCUUCCCCCCUGCAAUUCUGCGCAAGUUUAUUACGUCAGCUGCCUCCAAACUUGCGUUUUAGCCGGUCUUGUAGGGAGCUCAAGUCGGAAGGCGUGCACUUGACCGGCCAUUUUAUCUUCCUCCGUGAUCUUCUCUUGGCAACGAUCAUUUCCAUUCGGCUAGAUCGCCACCUUCGUCCCUUCGGCAGCGGGCAGGAAGGACUCUCCUGUCCAUGGGUUGGAGGGAAAGAGAGGGUUGACGACAACAGACGCGGAGAGAGACGACCAGACGAGAGAAACGACGAGCCCUUAACCUCCUCAACUUGUCUUCUCCAUUGUCUCUCAAUUUUGAUGAUCAUCAGCCAUCGCAGCCGCCGUUGAAUGAUGAACAGAGACUUCACCGCGUCCGAGGUACGCGCCCUUCAUCCUUAGAUCAUCAAGAUAACGAUCGUUCGCCAUUCUCUCUCUUUCUUCUCUCUUUUCUCGUCGGUGAAAUCAUCUUCUCCUCUCCGAAAGGGAUUCAUCGGCAGGCCAAGACGCCUCAAGAGAAGAGAGAUCAUACGCUGUUCUUCUUAAUUUAUUUACUUUUAUCCUAUCCAAAGUCCUCCCUUCGUGCCCCUUCGUUAAAAACGUUGUCCGAUCCGUUCUCAGGUCAAAAAACCUCAAGAUCAGAUCGAAAAGGAAGCCAAGACGUCGUCAGAGGGGCAGGCAUGCGAUGCAAGCAGGAAGAAAUCCGGAGGCGGAACGGCGGCCAAGUCUUCCAGUCUGAGAAGGAAGAUGGAGGGCCUCACCAUUACGAGCACACCCAUCACGAGAAUCGCAGGCCUCCCGAGCCCUGCUGGCCUUCCGAGCCCCGCAAGCAUUCCGAGCCCCGCAGGCCUCGCCGGCUCACCCUCCCCGACGGAGCCCGCGACGAUGCCCGGCGGCGGAACGGCGGCGGCGGUGAGGCGGCACACGGGGGGAGACGGGAGGUGGGAGGCAAUCAGGGAGACGAGCGAGAGAGAGUCACCGCUAGGACUCAGCAACUUCCGUUUGCUGAAGAGGCUCGGCUAUGGAGACAUUGGGAGCGUGUACCUGGUGGAGCUGAGGGGAACGGGGGGCGCCUUCUUCGCCAUGAAGGUGAUGGACAAGGCCUCCCUGGCCAGCAGAAACAAGCUGAUCAGGGCGAAGACGGAGAGGGAGAUCUUGGGGCUGCUGGACCAUCCGUUCCUGCCCACCCUCUACUCCCACUUCGAGACCGACAAGUUCUACUGCCUCGUCAUGGAGUACUGCUGCGGCGGCAACCUGCACUCCCUCCGGCAGCGGCAGCCCAACAAGCACUUCUCCGAGAAGGCUGCCCGGUGAGAGUCAAAUCGGUAAUCUUAAUAAGAGAGGCGAAAACUCUGGUUAAUCGAUCCGCGAGUUGUUUUGCUUUUUUUUCUUUCUUUUUUGGGCUGAACUGCUCGAUCCGCUCACUCUGCUGCCUGCCCUUCUGUGAAUGAACAACGAAAUGGCCAGAACUUCAUCUAGAACGCCAAGAUUAUUCACAAGGAGUACCCAUUUCGCAUCGUCUUCUUCGUUUUUACGCCGUUUCGUAGGUUUUAUUCAUUCGAUCAUCAUCCGGCAUGUUCGUAGCUUUUUUUAUGCAUGCACGAGCGAAUCCCAGGAUUCAAAUGGGCAGACAGACUCCUCCUCCAGUGCAAUAUUGUUGAAUGCAGAUGUCAUCUUGUUUUCUCAAGACCUUUGCUGAUCUGACCACGCGUUGGGAUAAUCACUCUCACUGUUCAGCACCCUUUUAGGGGAUCUGGGAUACCUCUCAUAAUUUCCAGUUGGUCGGUUUGAAUAUCCUUUCUCUCACCCAUACGCAUGCAUGCAUGCAUGCAUGCAUUGCACUGCACCUUCUCCGGCAGGUUCUACGCUUCGGAAGUCCUCCUGGCCCUGGAGUACCUCCACAUGCUGGGCAUCAUCUACAGGGACCUGAAACCUGAGAACGUCCUCGUCCGGGAGGAGGGCCACAUCAUGCUCUCCGACUUCGACCUCUCCCUCCGCUGCACCGUCAGCCCAACCCUCGUCAGGUCCGGCGGCGGCGCUGCGCACGCCGCCGGCGGCGGCCUCUUCCUCGACGGCGAGAGCCACCACCCGCUCCAGGGCUGCAUCCACCCGGCGGCCCUCCUCCCCCGCUUCCUCCCGAAGAAGAACCGCAAGUCCAAAUCCGACUUCGGCCUCGGCGGCGCCGCCGGCACCCUGCCGGAGCUGAUGGCGGAGCCCACCGGCGCACGGUCCAUGUCCUUCGUGGGCACCCACGAGUACCUGGCGCCGGAGAUAAUCCGCGGGGAGGGCCACGGCAGCGCCGUGGACUGGUGGACGCUGGGGAUCUUCCUGUACGAGCUGCUGCACGGGGUGACGCCGUUCAAGGGCUCGGGAAACAGGGCGACGCUGUUCAACGUGGUGGGGCAGCCGCUGAGGUUCCCUGAGGUGCCGGCGGUGAGCGCCGCCGCGAGGGACCUGAUAAAGGGUCUGCUGGUGAAGGACCCACAGAGAAGGAUCGCCUACCGGCGGGGGGCCACGGAGAUCAAGCAGCACCCUUUCUUCGAGGGGGUCAACUGGGCGCUCGUCAGGAGCGCCCUUCCUCCGCACAUCCCCGAGCCCGUUGACUUCACCCAGUUCGUCAGCAAGGAGCCGCCGCCGCCGCCGCCGCCCCUACCGGAGAAGAAUGGCCUUGACGCUGGAGGCGGCGGCGGCGGCGGCGGCGGAGAGGAGAGCAACGGAGGUGCAGGGGACAAGAGCGACCACCGUGAUCUCGAUUUUGAGUAUUUCUAGGCGGGGGUGGCCCAUGGAUUUAGUCUAGAGAGAGAGAGGGAGAGAGAGAUUGAAAUCAGUUGAUGUCUAAAAACUGCCCCCAAGAAGUGGUGGUACAUUAAUAUUCUGCUCCAUUUCGAGUCUUUCUAAGCGGGCGUGGCUCAUGGGUUUAGCGAGAGAGAGAGAGAGAGAGAGAGAGAGAGAGAGAGAGAGAGACUAGAAUCACUNNNNNNNNNNNNNNNNNNNNNNNNNNNNNNNNNNNNNNNNNNNNNNNNNNNNNNNNNNNNNNNNNNNNNNNNNNNNNNNNNNNNNNNNNNNNNNNNNNNNNNNNNNNNNNNNNNNNNNNNNNNNNNNNNNNNNNNNNNNNNNNNNNNNNNNNNNNNNNNNNNNNNNNNNNNNNNNNNNNNNNNNNNNNNNNNNNNNNNNNNNNNNNNNNNNNNNNNNNNNNNNNNNNNNNNNNNNNNNNNNNNNNNNNNNNNNNNNNNNNNNNNNNNNNNNNNNNNNNNNNNNNNNNNNNNNNNNNNNNNNNNNNNNNNNNNNNNNNNNNNNNNNNNNNNNNNNNNNNNNNNNNNNNNNNNNNNNNNNNNNNNNNNNNNNNNNNNCUUUGAGAUCCUUCACUUGCGUUUAAAACUCCCUCACAAAUCGCUGGUACAUAAAUUAUUCUGCUCUCCGAGGGUAGAUCCCACUGAAAGUUUUCCAUUCCUCGGCCGCCCUCAGCGGUGGUGACAACUCGCCACUAGCUUUCCCCAUGCAGAAAUGAAGACCCAGGAACCUUCGCCGGCGGCGGCGAUCCAGCUCCCUUCCUGUACAGAGGAUCUGCACAAACCUGGCAUGAAUCCAUGCUCAACCCGGCCUCCGUCGCUCCUCUCUGCCCCAUGCCUGGUCAGAUCGAUCCCUCUUUACUUAUUCGGCGCUGGGCUGGAUCUUGAGACCGCAAACCGCGGCAGCGGGCUGAGGCCUCCUCGGCUGCCGCCGGCGGCGCCGUCGACAAACUUAACUUUCCGGGCCGCGCCGCCGUCCGGAGGACCCCCCGGCCGCCGGUGCUGCCGCUCUUCGGCCCUGCGGGCGGCGCCGUCGACAUCAUACAGAAUGGUUGCUUCUCUUCGGUAGCCCUGCGCGGCGGGGUGGCCCGGAUCGCGAGAGCUGCUGGACUGGGGAGGAUCGCUGUGGUUGUGCCUGGGCCUGGGGGAGCUAUGGGAGAGCGAGAUGUGCGGGGACUGCCGCGGCGACGGGCAGAGGAUGUCGAGGGGUGCCGGCGGCGAGCUUCCGCAGUGCUGGUGGUAUAUCGAGCGCAGCAGCGUGUAGGGGAGAUGGAGCUCCAGGGCGCUCCUCGGGAGGUAGGGGGAAAUAUGGCAGAGAUGGUCCAGGAAGGUGAGCUUCGGAACAAGAUGAGCCCUGCAGGAGGGUACCAAGCCAUGAGAUUAUGCAUACAUUCAUAUCUAUGGAAAUUAAAUAUGAUGAUCCUGUGGGCAGUGGCCCAUCGAAGAGCUGCAGGGACCCAUCGAAGAGCUGCAACCAGAUGGUUGAAGCAUUCAGAGCUGAAUCUUUGGCACCAGACACUGAGCAGCCCCACUACUAUGAAAAUCCACAGUCGAAAACAGGAAUGUCUGACAGAGCGCCGGAAAAUUGAUCAAAUAUAGCGAAAGAAAGAGGAAAUAUAUCCUCUCUUUAAUGAAAGAUUUAGAUUUAUCUCAUGAUGCUACCGGAGCUGUAGUGGAUAUAUGCAAUCAGAUUUCAUUUGGCGGCUGCAGUACCUGUUGCUCUCACUGAAUGAACUGAGAAUGAUCCCUGCAGAGUAUUUCACAUACAGCUGCAUUGUAGACUUUAUAUUUGCCUGAACAGAUGUUCGAGUAAGCGUUUCGGGCUCCAUCUCACUGCCAUGUCCAUUGGGUAGAGAUUGCCGCUGCAGUUCACUCUUUUCUGACCGUAUGAACUCGCUUGCGGCGAUGACAGCACUGAUGCACCUGCAGAAACUGGAGUCAGCUCCCAAUGCUCUGUACCACAUCAAUGGGGAUAAUCCCAUACCGACAUGGUCCCAAAAUAUUUAUAUAAGUCUCCACUACAUUAGCCGCAUCUUUGGAUGGGCCCACCAAAGAUCUGAGGCCUGACCAGAAUUCUCGGUUUAACGGAUGAAACAUUGAAUCCCAAGGAAAAGUGUAUUUUUAUAUCUUGAUCUUGACAGAUGGGGUGUUCAGAUGAGGAAAAAUGAUAAAUAAGGUAAAAUAACCCCAUAGGAAGAGUACCUGAGUCUGGAUUCCUUCAAGCCUACUUUCAGAUGGGCACAUAUGAAUCAUAUUUUGCCUUUGGAAAGAAAGUCCAUGCGGCGUGACGGAACGAUGUGGGUAUGCAUAUAAAGACCUCAUGAAGACACUAGCAUGACUUUAAUUGGAAGCUGAGCGAAUAAAAAAAAAUGGUAUUUCACGGAGAAAAGCUUCCAAUUAGUGAAAGGAUUAUUCCCAAUAACCAAGAUACAUAACCGCAAAUGGGCAUGCGUUGAAAUGCAAAAACUCAUUUUUAGAACAUAAACAUAAUAGAAGGUAGUCCACUAUCCAUCUAAUUUUGAGAACCGAUGGAAAAAUAAAGUCAGCUCACCUCGCUAAGCACUGAACAUUGCUAUUAAAGCCCCCAAUAUUCGCAUCAAAAGAGGUCGUGUUCCAAACACUUGAUACCAUGAAUGAAGCACACAGAUAGGGAAGCAAACUCCACGAACCAUUAUCAAAAGAUCCCCUUUCCGCCAUGAUGGAAUGCACCCAUUCCGUGUCAAGUUCACCCGUCUUUCCAGCGUCGUUUGCAACCGUCCUCAGCCUUCUUAUUUCAUCCUUCUCAGGUAUCUCAUCGGGCAGCUGACUCUUCACCGAAGAAACUAAUGUGACAACAAGAGGUGCAUUCUCUUCCAGGACGGCUCCAGCAGAUUCCACCAGAAGCCUGUGGAAUGCUAUCGCUUGACCUGCCUGGAUACAGAAACCAACCACGCUCUCCAUCUCCACUAUCUGUUUGAUCCUAUCAAGAGAGCUUGUGCUCCCUGCAAAUGCCUCAAGCACCUCAGAGUUGGAUAGCAGUGUUGCCUCGAUGCAACUCAAAAGGGCAGCCAUAUGCUCUCUCAUCAUCCUGUCAAGCUUGUCAAAUCCAUACCCACCAAAGACACGAAACAAGGACUUCAGUUCUUCUGCGCUGGUGAACGAGUCAGCAAAAUAUCCCCCAAUGAGUUGGGAACUCUUAAAGCAGUUAUGCAGCGGAGAAAAUAUAACUUCAGCGCUCGAGACAUCCUUGACAAUAUGAUCGAUGUACCAGUUGCCCACAAUCUCUAUAGCCGAUCCAGCAGGCUGGCUUGGGGACUUCUCAAAUGUCUGCAAGGAAUGAACAGGGCCAGAGAAGGCCUCUGACAACAAAAUUUCACGGAUUCCGGUUGUUAAGUCCAUGCUUAUGUGCUGUUCGGCCAGAUGGAUGAUGCUGAUAUGUCUUCGUAUUAAAGAUUCGAUGACUGAGGGGCGCUGCAAUCCAUUAUCUGUUCUCAGGACUGAAAGAAGCCUCCUUCUGAAGUUUCCAAGAAUGCAUUCUCUCAUGUACUGAAGAGAAGAUGAAAAUAGAUCAUAACCAUGGUGUGAUACUGAUUUUGACAUAUCCACAACCAACUACGGCAGUCUUCUGGUAAAAUAUUAAAAGAGAGAAAUUUCGACAAAGAUCAGGUGAAUACUACUCCUUGCAUUUUAGGGGCAUUUUGCCAGCCGAGGUUUCAACGGACACAGUUUUAAUAACUGAUAUAGAAUAUAUAGACAUAAUUUCGAAUAAAUAUAGAGAAAGUAUAGCUACCUUGGAAGCCUUUCCUAAAGAUGUCAUAAGAAUAAAAGAUUGCAUCAAUUACUAGUGAGCAUAGUUUCCUCUCGAUAAGGCUUCUUUUCUUCAAGGAUGUCAGCAUCCUCCCGUCUAUGGAAUAUUCCAGAUGUAUCGGCAACUUUAUGUCAGCAUGGAUACCCAGGGCACAAAAUGUUCGGCUCACACAUGCAUAUCGGAUCACAAAGGAGGAACAUAAUUACCCACGGAUGCAAGCUCUAAAAAAAAGCCAACUACUGAUCCAGAAUGAAACGAAAAGAAGAGAGAGUAACACCUCAUCCCUGGCUCAUGCGCCUGUGUUCUCCACAAGCUAAUAUAACACCCUCCCAGUCGUCCAAAACCGUCAAAAAACUUGUCCACAAUGAAGUCGAGGGCCAAAAGCCCAUUAAAUUUCAUCGGAGAGCUUCUACUACGAGAAAGAGAUAUUUGAAUGACUAUGCCACGGUAGAUUUUCCUAAGAUCAUGAACACGAGUUCAAACUAUAUGGGAAAGCAGUUUUCAUAUACAGUUGAUUUCACCCACGUGAUCAAACGGGCAUUCAGUCACAUAGCAUAAACUAAGUAGGAUUAGCGAGGCAUGUGAUGGGAGUUUGAAGAAACGAUUCAUAACUAAUAAGAUUCAUGUGAAAAUUAAAAGAAACAAGAAUUAAACAACAAUGAAAGAGUUAAGGAAUUUUGUACAUUGCAAUAAUGAAAGAGUUUACAAACAUGUUGACAAAUGUUGCGAGUGAUAAAUCCAAGACAAUCACUCAAUUACCUUUACAAGUAGACUUUCUAGAUAUGAAUAAGAUGGAACUAGAGUUAAAAUAUUCUCAUAAGUACAUCAAAUGCAUGGUCUCUUAAGACAAUCAAGUCAAAGGACGACUGCUACUCAUUCAAGAGACCUCAAGCAGAAAUUUCACCACUCAGGCUCCUAGAAACUGAACGGGGGUAUAUAGGCGACAAGAGCAAAAAAUAACUAAAAAUACACAUCUUCCAGAUGUAGUGUUAUGUAAAUUUCAUGGUUUGCUAAAAUAUUUGGAUGGAUAUGAAGAAUAUAUUUAUGAUGAAAUCGCUAUUAUGAUUUAGUGCCUCAUAGGCUAAAUAAAAAUACUAAUUAAUAAUACAUUUCACUCUUUUUAUCUGCCUCAUACUUUAAAUUUCAUUUUAAUCAUUGGUUGCACACAAUUGAUAGAACAACCUACUUUGUGUAAACAAAAAAACUUGAUGAAUAAAAACAGAGGCUGGACCCAUCUGCAUCAGCCUUGUGCAACUCAGACAUGAGACUAGUUAUGUGACUUGAUUUUCAAGAAUCCCAGUCAGUAGCCAAUUCAAACUAGAAUAGAUGUCAUGUAAGCCGAGGCUAUGAAAGUUGUUUAAGAUGAUUUGGGCAUAGGGAAAUAAGGCUGGAAUUAGCACUUUUUAAGAGAUUCAGUUUUUUCAUGAUACUAAGAGAUGAAAAGGAAUAUCCAGUGAAACAUGGAUUAAAGCAACAAAGAAAAAGGCAGAGUUAGGCAUGUAGAAUAUGAGCAGAUAGGGGAAAUGAGAUUGGCACACCAAUGUAAAUUAGUUGGAAUUUUGGUAGAUGAUAUUGAGGAUCAUGGUAAUGAUAAUGAUAAGAGACAAAUUGAGGCCUAAGGAUACAGAGAGAAGGUCAUAGGUUAAUAAUUUCGCAGUGUUUAUCAGGGCUUCGGUUUAAGGAACAUAUGUAGACCAGGAAAGGGCAAGAACAGAAAAUAAUAUCUAAUGGGUUUGCAUUUAUUUCUGAAAUAUGCGGUACAUUAGUAACCAUAUAAUCAGAUUUAUGGAUAUUAUUCUACAACUUUUGAAAAAUAUGAGACAUUCUCCAUGACAACAGCCCCAAAAUAAAAAGCACCCCAUAUUUAACCAUGCCAUCAUUUGACAGUCCCAGGAUAACAUCUUUUCCGAUAAUCUAAACAAAUGUCAGAAACUCUAUGAAACAAAUUUCGAGCAUUGGUAGCUCACCUCUCGCAGGACAAAAACAUGAUUUAGAACACAUAUGGGUUCCAUAUCAUUCAAAACCGAACAUAAAUUUGUCAACCUCUGCAUUGCAGCCUCCAACCUGCCACAGAUCAAACAGCCCUUAACACAAAGCCUGAGAAAAAUCAUCAAUUGCCGCAGGUUUCAGGCUUACAUUUUCACAGAGUUGCUAUUUUCUGGAUAGCUUUCCUGUCCAGGCACUAACAAGCCAGGAAUGAGUUUGGCAGAUUUAAUAGACGAUAUUGGUGUCUUUAUUCCAUGCAGCAUACGAAUAGCGGCUUGAUCAGGUGUUAGCUGGAAUAUAGAAAGAAUGAGCCGACCUCAGGGCACAGUCAACGAGCUGCAUAACAAAGGUUAAGGUAACAGAAAGUACAAGACCUGCAUCUCUAGAGACCCAAAUCCUCCGUCUGCGUCUAAUAUGUUGAUCAACCCUUCCAGACCACCCAUUAUGGAUUCAAUGAGUGACUCAACAUAAGAGACAGAAUCCCGGCCAAUUUUAUUCAGCUGAAGUACAAGAACAACAUUAUUAAGAAAUUCAUCUAGCGUGCUAACAAAUAUUAUAUGCAUAUAACAAAAAUAAAUGAAUAAUCAUGAAAGAAAGUUCCACAAAUACUGUCCCAAGCUACGAGACAUCUGAACCGAGAGCUGUUUGGAAGACAAUGAUGCUCGGAAUCUUCAAGGGGUAUGUAGAAGGAGUUAACUGCAUUAUUGAGGGCGAACAGAAGUAAGAGCAAUCAUCUGCCUCAUCGAAGAAGUCAGCUUAUCAUCAGUGUUUCACGUUAUUCAAAUGAUCAAUGUUAGAAGGGGUUCACCGUCCAAUGGUCAACAAAAGAGAAAUACAAAAGGAAAGCAGGAUCCUCAAGUUGAAUGCCCAGAGGGGAAAAACAGUAUUUUUACUGGGAGCGGACUCUCACCUAUCAUGAAGCAAGUUUAGGUCAUAUGGAAUGCUGACAGAGUUAUAAAAAGAGGAAAAUGGACAGAUCUCUAAUUAACCAACAGAACAUUUAUUUUUAAAAAACUGACAAUAUACGCCUUGUGCCUCAAUAGUCCAAGUCUAAUUGUUUUUGGUAACAUUUCCUCAACAACUCGAGACAAGAUAAAUUUUGAGCUUAAACUAAAACAGCCUUCGUUAUGGAAAUUAGAAUGAGGAAAGGGAUCAGUAUAGCCUCAAAGUCAUCAGCAGGUUAAAGUGAGAAACGAAGCCCCAAAGCAAAAUAACAUUGUAGUUUCAUGCACUCAAAACAAUGAUCCAUACUGCUCUUUCUGGGAUUGUGAACUGAGCAUUCUCCAUCUUUCAAUGUGAAAAUAAGUAACGAUGCACAAGUCCCUUAAUUAUCAGGUUAUAAUCCAAAGCACUGUAAUCCAAUCAGAAGUUAAAUUACGAAACAAAUAACGCGCAUUCCAAUAUACUAGUAUGGAAUCACAAAACUAACAAAACAUGUAUACAUCAAACAGGUCCAGAAGGUUCAAGAAAAGAAAUGUCAUACAAACAGGCGUGCCUACCUCUUCAGGGCUGGUAGAAGAAGCACAGCUGGGGAAACUACUUGCUACUCCAAGCCAUGCACAGCAGUGCUGUGGAUGUCCUUCUGGCCCAAACAUCGUGCUCCUAAAGACCUAAAUUAAACAUUACAAAGUUCAAAUUGCAAAACAUAUUCUUCAUUAAUUAUUUCUCGAAGUAAUGAUUAGCGGGAGCAUCCUCCAUUGGGCAGUUAUAAAACUUCUGCCUGUAGCAUGACAUAUCAUACUGAACGCCAGGACAGAGAAAUCAUUAUCCGAGUACAACAUUAUCUAUCCAUUUAGCCACCCCCUUAAAAAGUAAUGCUCUUAAAAGUGAAUAGAUCCAUGUUUUGAAAGAUGCUUUGAAGGUGGUAUGCCAUGUCUUUUACAUUUAAUAAAAGAAAUAGAUUUCCCCCAUUUUCCACCUCAUUUUCCGAUCUAAAUUUGCAUAGUGAACAUCAAGGAUUCAAGAACUGAGAGACCCUGCAUUGCGCUAUCCUGAAAUAUUCGUGGCAUCCUUAUAACUGUAAAUGUUAGAAAAAAGCCAAGCGUGUCAAAAUAUUUACGCCAUCUUUGAUGUUUUUAUCAGAGCAAUGUUUUCUUUAUUCUAUAAGUAUUAUUUACCUUGUAAUAAAAUUGCAAAUUGAAAAAGGGUAAAGACACUAGACAUUUUGGAGCUGAAUACAAUCAUGGGUGGAGGGAGAUGCAAAUAGAACCGUUUAUGAGCCUUCUGAGAACUUUAGGUAGCACUCUUAAUAGAUGUUUUGAAGACCAGAACACCUGGGUAGGAAAGAUAAUGUGGCUUACCGCACUUAAAUGGGUGUGAUAGAAAUACAGCUUUCCAAGGCUUCCAUGCUUCGAUAGCUGGGAUUCAAGUUCAUCAACACACCUGCCAUGAGUGCAAAAAUAAUCUAUAUUUCAUUUCAAUAAAUCGAGGGAUUGAAUGAAACUUGUUAAUACUUGGUCCACAUCUACUACUUGUACAUCUUGAUACUGAACCGUGGGAGGUAUUAAAUCAUGGGCAAUGUAGGAGUCAAAUAAGCAGAACUGGGGUCAGCUGAACAUCUCCAUACAGAUGAUUAGAAGGGGCAUAUACAAGAUGACUUCUUAUGCCUAAGGUUAAAGAUCUAUCAGCAGAUGCCAGAUGGAUAUACAAACUAUAAAUACCAAAACUAUAGAAGAGCAGUCAGAAAACACUAUAUAUAUCUGCCAAAUAGCCAAACUAACAAAGAGUAAUAANNNNNNNNNNNNNNNNNNNNNNNNNNNNNNNNNNNNNNNNNNNNNNNNNNNNNNNNNNNNNNNNNNNNNNNNNNNNNNNNNNNNNNNNNNNNNNNNNNNNNNNNNNNNNNNNNNNNNNNNNNNNNNNNNNNNNNNNNNNNNNNNNNNNNNNNNNNNNNNNNNNNNNNNNNNNNNNNNNNNNNNNNNNNNNNNNNNNNNNNNNNNNNNNNNNNNNNNNNNNNNNNNNNNNNNNNNNNNNNNNNNNNNNNNNNNNNNNNNNNNNNNNNNNNNNNNNNNNNNNNNNNNNNNNNNNNNNNNNNNNNNNNNGUUCUCAGAUAAAAACCAAAAAGAAAAUCCACGAAGAUUGAAAUAAAUAGGGAACAUGAAUUAGUUCUAGCAUAUAAAAACACAUUAGUUGCAAGAAGAAAAUGUCAUUGAGACACCGUGUCUAAUAACACCGGCUACUACCAGACAGUUGGAAAACUCAAGGGAGAGCAUUGAGAAGACCUCUAAAGAGAUACAUAUCACUCAAUAAAAAUAGACCGAUACCCAAAAAAAUUUUGGUAGGAAUUGAAAUACCAUUUAUGCGAUACCAUGAAAUUUCUUUCAUCUUGUAACCAAAGAAUCUCCCAGAAAAAUAUUGCAGUACAAAGUAUUUUGUAGCAAAAAAAAGUAAAACAUAUUAGAUGAAGGGGACAGCAGUAAGUACUUAAACAUCAUUAAUAUCAAUUGGAAGGGCAUCAAUUGGAUGAUUUUGAACUUCGCCAUCCCUCUGUCAUUGAUCUGAAAACGAAAACAAUGGGAGAAACAAACCUUGACCAGUUAUAGGCAGCAUUUCCCUCGGAUAAUAAACCCUCCUUUCCAGUGGAGACUGUGGCCUUCUCCAAAUGCCGUAUGUUUAUUGAAGACCGAGAUGACGUUACAAUCAUUAAUAUUGACAGCCAGUGCCUUCGUAGAUCCUAAAGACAUUAAUAUACAAUAUCCAACAUAAACGUAAAUAAAAAACUGCAAUAAAUUAUAACACAUUCCUAUUUGUACUAAACAUUUAUACUGAGAGCCUAAUGAGCAGGUUCAGAAAAUUCUUAAAUUCAUUAACUAAUGAUCGACAGUUACUGAAGAACAUUCUUUUUGCGUUUAAUGUUUACAAAACCCACUACGAAACAAUAAUGAAAUAAAAUAAAUAAAUAAACAGAAGAAAAGACACGGUGAGAGUUGUCACAGGCUGCAAAAUUAAUCCAGUAGGAUACUAGCCCAAAAGAGAACACACCUUGCAUAAAAUGUUCUCUAGAAACCUCUACCACAGAUUAAAUAGCAACGGCAAUGAUUCGUCAUAGAUCCUUAAAAUGUGUUCAAUUCUUCAGCAUGGCCAACAAAAACGUAUUCCACUCAAUCUGGUGGAAUAUGCACGACACAUGCCAAAUUCUGCAUGAAGACUUAUCUGAAAGCAUCGCACAAAGCGAAGGGUACUAAACAUAACACUCCCAAAUAGUUCAAUAAUAAUACAUCCAGGAGAAACACACUGGACAGAAUACAGAAUACAUAUUUAUCGUUCUUCUUUAAAGUUCCAUCUCCAAAACCUCAUCUCCAUGCUUUUCAUUCACUGUGACUAGCUAAAUUACUAAUCGCAAUUUCGCAUGCUGAACUAGUUUUCAUUUAUGCAUAAUUAUUUGCAAGUAUCAUCCACCAUAAUCACGCUCUAAAAUACCUCAAUUCGUAUAUUCCUGUUUAUCCUUUCUUCUUCAAGCUACUAAUACGUCUUAUCUACAGACCUGUUUUGUAGGUAUCUAUCCUCAAGAAUUGACGCCUUAACAUUCGGCCAGCUCAGACAACACAGACAUUAAUCACAGAUUACGAGAUUACAAUUUAUUUCUCUGAGCAAGAGCGAAAUAUGGUGAAGCUGAGGACCACCAUGAUUCCCAUUCCCAAAAAUUUGUUGGUCAUAAAUUUUCUCUAGAAAGAGUCACCAGUCCCACUAACCACAGCAAUUUAGCAAAAAGAGCUUGCGAAGAAUAUUUAUUUUACUCAACUUAACACCUAUCUUUUAGUUCUACAAAAUGUCGCAGUACCUUAAGCGGAAUCCUGUCUCCUUAUUUGUGAAAUUCCAUAUAGAAUCAAUUAUAAAAGAUUCCACUUUUUGCAACUUUUGUUGGCGUCUUGGAAAUAGAUAGAAUAUCUCAGCAAACUAGGUACUAAUGUGCUAGAUAGAACCAAUCCACCGCCGGUUAACAAAUGCUUUACAAUCCUCCCGCCCAUUCCUGCACUGCAGAUUUUUACAAAACUUAAAAUAUUGACAUUGAAACGUCGUUGAACUCACCAAAUGAUUGAGUAAAAUCGGAAUAUUCUUUGCAUCAUCAUUUUCAUAUUCUGUAGUGUUAUCUGCACACAAAAGGAGAGCAAGCAAUAGGUGUUCUGACCAAUCUAAAUAUCAUCAAAAACACCUACUGCAGCAACCUUCUUUCAUGAUGAACUAAGACGUCGUCAUACAGAGGAUAGUUUUUCCAAGGAAAGAUGUUAACCAUUUCCUGUCUAUUGAACUCUCGAAACAAUCAAAAUAUAUAUCAAUAGUUACUAUGGAAAACAUUGCAUUUUAUGAGCGACAUAUCACGCUCCUCAUCAAUUGUUGCUAGAAUCCAACCGAAAUUAAUGUCCCACUAAAACAGGUUUAAAGUGCAAACAACUCAAUCACAGUCGGGACACACUUCUUACUCAUCAUUUUACAGUGAAUGACGUCAUGCAUAGGCACAGAAUUAUCCAAAAUAUGCCUUGUACAAAAGGUGACAGAUUCCCAUAUCAACCACAAUAUCCAAAGUAGUUAUUCGCAUUUUCACAGAGUCAUCAGCCUAAUUUAUAACUCUAAUUUACUUUGUGCAGCUAUGUUAUGCAUAACUGAUCCUGAGUAAUCUAAAAACAAGGUGAAGACGUUUGUUUUUUUAAAAAAAUAGGGAUCAGUCAUCUCUUCAGCUACUCUAUUAGGGAUAUACCCAUAAACUGGAGUUAGAGGGCUAAUGAUCAGGCGUAUCCCAUGAAACUCUAUCACUAUUUCAUUGAAUAACGCUAAAGAUCUUGCAGAAGAACGGAAAAGAAUAACGAAAGAAAAACCUAUCCAUCUCAGGAGUUUGGUGCAAUUCACAUGAAAGCCCAAGACUUUGACUUCUGCCAAGAAAGUUACGAGCUGAAAAGUAAAGCAAUCAGUCCCAAAGUGGACACUGCUCUUCUAUAGCAUCUCCAUAUUUCCAUGGCUGAAAUAAAUAUCAAAAAUAUCAUACAACGCUUUAUUGAAUCAUCUAUUGAGUACAUCACCUGACUUUCACCUUUUAUGUUUUUAUUUUUUACUUCUGUGGUGUGUACCACGAUAUCAUUGAAUGAAAAGAAAUAUAUACAAUUGUGCAUGCCAUUAGCUUCUGAAGCUUAUGACCCCAUAAAGCGAAACGGGAAUCAUUCUUUCAGAGGGGAAUUUUUACACCAAAAGGAGUUCACUAAUUUCCUAUGCAAGUCUCUGAAUCAUUAGCUAUGAUAUCUCUAGCUUCCCAAAUUUACUUCCACGUCUUGGAGGGUCUAUAGAUGUUAUUAGGAAUAAAAUCCGAAGCCAAUUCUGUAAUUCAAAUAACAGAAUGGAAAGAACAAUUUUUUUAUAGGACAUCGCCAUUAGAAGGUACCCACCAUGAAUGUAAUUGUUGACUUGAGAACAAUAAUUUUAUUUUAUUUUUUCAUAGAAAAUAGUAGUCAGUUCCUCUAAGAGAAAACUAAUGUUAUUUCCAUGAUAGAAAACACUAUCCAGUGUCUUCUGAAAUAUUCUGGCAGGUCAACAUGAAUUCAAGAUUUUUGUUUUUCGCUGGAAAUUUUUAUUCAAGAUUCAUUACCCUCAAGUUAUGCUAAGUCUCCUUCAUCUAAUAACUAAUUCUUUCUCAAGCUGCAUCAUUGCUGUAGGAACUGCCUGGUCUAACCAACAAGUGAGACUGGGUAGAAUAACCAUAAAUUCGCUUAAUGAUUCCAGUCUCAGCAGAUUGCAGUCAAUGUUGCGCAUACAGACCAAUUUUCUCCAGUAGAUACGUUCUUAAGUAUUCAGGAAGGAAUUCAGAAACAUUUUUCCUUCCAAGUCUGCUAAGCAAUAAGAAUUCCAGGUAUCAUGAAUAAGCCAGCAGCUAGAGUUUACCCUCACCGGCACAAACUUAAAUUUUUGUCAAAAAUGAUGUGACAGAGGAAGUUUCCACGAGGUAGAUUGCAAAGAAAUCACUUUGAAUUCUAAACCACACAAAUUCAAUUAAGAAAAACUCUCAGAAACCAACGGAGAAAAAGAUGCACAAUACGUAAGCAACUUACAGAUAGGUCACAUUUAAGUGAGGAGACAUUUUCUCCCUGGGGCUUUGGCACAUUUUCAAGACAACGAACAACUUGCUGAAAGAGGCCCUUCAAUGGGGUAUCUAGAUCAAGGGCUACCAUUCCCGGUGUACCCAGUAAGAAGCGUAUUCUUCCAGCGCAGGAUGACAAAUAUGACAAUGCGUAUCCUCUUAUGGCUGUUCAAAGGAAAAAGAAUAACAAUUUUAAUUUUAUGUGCAAAAGGUUAGCUCCAGUUAAACAAGGAAAUCAAGGUAACCAUAAAACCUGAAAACGUCCACAAACCAUAGCGACAUGAAAAAAGAAAAUUUAAUAAAACCCAGAAAUAUUCCCAAUCAGAGGAUAAGAAUAGUUGUAAUACACUGAAGGAGAGUCCAUUUCCCAAUUAAAUCAACUAGCUGUUAAGGAACCUCCACGUGAAUAUUUUCAGAAAGCACAUGGACCAAAAUCUCCAAGAAAGGGCAUGACUAUGCAGGAAGCAAUUUCCAUCUAUAAAUGGCAGGAAUCAGCCGCAUCCACCCACACCCCACAUCGACAUGACAAUGCGCUGAAGGAAAACUUUAUAGCCAAAAGGGUGAGAGAAAAAUAACCAAGACCAUCAGCAAAAGGAUACACCAUUCCUGAUCUCAGCAAGCUUCUACGACGGGAUUUUUCUGGAGGUACGGAUUGAAAACUGAUACAACACACGUUUUCUCAUUUUUGUUCUGUUUAUAAUACCUAAAGGCCGUGGGCGAAGUUACUCCAAAGAAAAUUUUCACCAUUUUCAAAAUAAUGAAUGGCAAAAUAUUCCAGAUAUACUCUGUUGGCAACAACAACACCUUAUCAGGGAUUCCUUUGAUCAGAACCUAGUGGUAGUCCUAAACAGAGAAAGGAAAACGUGGAAUGGAGCUUUGAGGAACCUUCUCAAUGGUGCUAUCCUAAUGGGAAUGUAGCUUUGAAGUCACUAAUCCAAUGUGAUUUUAUUUUUCUUUUGAAAGGGACCCCAAUGUGAUUUUCGAACUCCAAUCUCAAAAGAAACAUAACUCACCCAACAAAACUUCCAGGCCCCUUAUCCCCAAUACUUCAAACUUAUGGAUGAAGAAAGCAAGUGCAGUUGACGCCAGAUAUUGGUGGUUAUCCUGCUACUCUUUCUUCCCUUCAUACCAUCAUGCCCUUCAGUCUCUCUGCCAUGCACUGGUAACUGAAACUCUUCAGUGUUUUUUAUACAGGACUAGAAAAAGAACACCCAUCAUGAAACAUCCAACUUCCGGUGCAUUCCAUUUUCUCAAUUUUUUUGAACUUGAAGGAUGCUCAGAGUUGACUCCCAGAACCUAAGAGCAUGCACAAAAAUCAACCAAUUUUCGUAUAAUGGUGUGUCCGCUAGGCUUGUUGUGAAGAUAAGUAGCAAUAACAUAAGCUACAAUUCCUAUUCAACUUCUAGUGGUCUAUUGACACUGAAUGCUUGUAGCAUUAUGAACCUUUCUAACUGUUGUGGAACAUAGGGAGAAAGAUACAAGGAGAGAUAUCAUGUAGUGACACACAAAGAGAAAGAGAGAUACAGAGAGAAAGAGAAAGAGGAACCUCUGUCCCCAAGGACAGAGGGGAGAGCAGUGGAUUGCCAACCUCACACUAUUCUCUCUAACUUAGUUCCUUAUAUAGGGACAAACCCAAACACAUUUCCCAUAAUACCCUUACACAUGCUAACACUAACCAUAAAUUGAAGCUUAUUAAAUCUCAUUGAUAUAACGUCAAAUUAACCUGUUAUCCUACUUUUAGAAUGGCUUAUUGGAUGAGUGAAGCAUGGGAUGGGAUAUUGGACACCCAAACCAAGUAAUCUAUGCCUGGUUUAGUGAGUGGACAAACAAUUUGCCCCCCACCUCUGAGACCAAUCCAGAUUAUUCGUGUUUAAUAAAGGGGUAAUAAGGAUCUUUUAAUUUUUUAACGCUAAUUCAAUAAUAGAAAAACCCUACGAGGCGGCCAAAAUGUUCAGCGGGGUUGUUUCUACUUUCCUGUUCUCUCUUUGCCCUCCAUUCUUCUCAGUUUGUCAUCUAGGUUUUCUUCCUACCUUAAACGUCGUUUUAGAAUAAUAUAGAUUAGGAGCAUGUAACCAGAAUAAAGUCUCCAAAUAAACUUCAGAGUUUCCUGGCAUAAAGUGCAUGCUUAAGAACAUUGCCAAAGUAACAGGUUCCCACAAGAAUGAAAAACAAAAUCUUACCCUGCGAGAUCCAUCAAAUAGCAAAUUAAAGAUAAUCAUGCGAAGUUAAAAGCCAUAGGUUCUGGAAUAAAAUGCAUGGGGCAUAAAAACCCCGUGCAACAUGGACAUCAUUGUAAAACAUAUUCAUUUACCAAUAAAUGAAAACAUCACCUGAAAUAUAUUUCCGCACUAAGCAGCAAAGCCUGUCCAUUCCAUGUAACAAGAAACCAAUUGUUGGGUCUGCUGCAUCCUGCAACCGAAAAUGUCAGAACUAUUGUUGGUAGAACUUCAUAAUUACACAAUUAUCGAAUAUCUCGGCUUUUGUAACUUACAAUGUCAGCAGGUGCCAUCCUGGCUGUUUUAGAUCCUGAAGACGAUAUACUAAUAUGUUGGCAGUACCAAAUGAUUUCAGACUGGGCAAAAGCCAAUGCUGAGAAAACCAUCUGCAUUGAGCAAGUGAACGGUAACGUUUUGCAUACAUAAAAUUUCUAAGUAAUCUGUUACCCAAGGAAUAUUACAGUUCAAGAAAUAUUCUAUGUUACAGAUCACAGAAACGAAGUGAUAAAUUAUGUCUACGAAUGCUGAACAGCAUACUGAACAAGUAUCUUGUACUUGGGACUACCAAGAGUGCAAAUAAAUAGAUGUCAAGUUCUUGGUUUUCAUCAACAUUCAGAACUCAAAUCUAGGGUUCAUUUAUGCAAGUAUUCGGUUCAAAAUAGGUCUUGUUCCAUUUCACCAAAGUAGAACAAAUUUAGGAGGCAUCAGAACAAAAAAUAAGAUAUUUAAAUGAGUAAAUUACUCCUUGGAAUUAAAUGAUCGGAUGUCAACCACAAUGGAAUCAAAUUAUUACACAAAUGAGACAGAUUAAUAGUUUUAGGUAGACUGGUUCCUUCGUCAGACUAGAAGAAGGGCUGGGCUGGCUCCCUGGUCAGAAGAGGAAACGGCAAAACUGAAGCUUAAUUGUUUCCUUUUUCUGACUGGUUUUCAUCUGUACAGACGAAGUUCAACUCUACAUACUAAAGAAAUACUAAAAUCUCAUUACUUAUGAAGGUUUUAGCAAAGACAAUAGGAGAUAGCAUUUUUUCUGACGAUAAUUAUGGAAUAACUUGUAAAAAACCAACGAUGGUACUCGGAGUAUUAAGCCCCAAUAUGUUGAUUGAAAAACCGCUAUCUACCGUAAGAACUCAUAGCAUUCUAAAAUUUUUCAGAAAGAAAUGACACAAUGGCAACAAAUAUUUUCUAUGGAAUGUUCCAUAUGUUAUGUUGACUCGGUUCUUCUCUUCACUUACAUUCUUGUUUUCUCGUAGAGGAAAUCAAAAUAUGGUUUCAGCUAUUAAAUCAAUUAACCUAGUAAAAAACCUGAUGACAGAAAACUAUAUUCGGUUUUUAGACAUUUAAAUGUCAUCGUAUUUUCUGAACCAUGUUUUGAAAUCGGAUGUAAAAUGGUGACUUUACACGGGAAUAUCAAACCUUUUCGAAAACGUGCUUUUACAAGUUCCUCAAACCCAUUUUACUAUUAAUAACCAAAUAAUAUCGGUUACACAAAUGGUCCUAAAAAUCUUAGCCUUUCUAAAAGAAAAAUAUGGGAAAAAAUACCGGAUCGAUUAUAGCAUGAAAUCAAAAUUACACAUGGAAAGAAAGACUUUCGAUCAAUAAUAACUGUUCACCGAGAGCUAUUAGACAACAAAUUGAAAGUAUAUGUUGAAUAAACUAACAAAUCCCUGUAACCCUGUGUGGUAUUGUUAUAAUAUGGUAACUUAAAGCAACUGGCCAAUUAAAGUAGAAUCAUCCAAAGUAAACGUUUACCUGAAUAUUAGGAGCAAGUAAACUAGGCUGGUCGGCAAAAAACAAUACCAUUCUACCAAUCUCUUGCUUUAGUAAUAUUCUUCUCUCAUGAUGUACGGCAACACAUGACACAAGUGCUUGUUCAUGCACCUCACUGGAAAGAUAACAAAGAACAAAAGAGAUCAAUAAAUAUAAAAUGCAAUUGAAUGUCGAACAAAAGUACAGUACACAAAAAAAACAUGAAUUAGAGAAAAUGUAAGAUAACUAAAGAUCCAUGAUAAGGAAAUAUAAUAUAGUAGCAACAAGCAAUUAGCAGGUAAAUUUGCGUCCAUUUAUUUUCCCGCAACAUAUGUGCACUCAUUGCAGACAGCACUAAAACUCACUGACUAGUCAACAAUCUUGGUGUUGACUAUAUAUAAUGGUUAAAAUGAGAGAGUUCUAGAAACUUGCAGAUGUAAUGAUGAUAAAUAUUCAAAAUUCUGCCACUAAUGAAUAGGGACAACUUUUCUUCAAAAACUGGUGACGUGCGUAGCUGCGCACAUUAGAAAUAGCUUUAUUAUUUUCUGGUGUCAGACAACAUGCAAUAGUAGUAGAGCCUUCGAUCACACAGCAAAGAGAGGAGGCACAUGUUUGGAAGAAAUUUAAAACAUAAAAGAUUUACCACUACAAGUUCUACUUGCCCUAAAAGCUUGCAGAGAAAUCUGUAUCAAGCACAGGGAUUCAUGUGCUCAAAGAAAAAUUAACUACUUAUCUCGAUGGGAUCAUGAAACAUUACAUAUAACCUCGAACUUUGCCCAUUAGUCUAAUUUGUCUUCUACAGGAAUAUCUGCUACACUAUUAUAUUAAAACAGGCCCCAGAAAUAUUAAACCGACAUUAAACCAGGAAAAAAUCUGAGAACUCCUUUUCUCAUAUAGCAAUGAAGUGCAAAAGUAAGAGAAAUAAGAUGGCACAAAAUACUUUCCUAUCCUGCCUGAUAGUAAGUUGAGUGCCCUUUAUCUCCAUCCCAUAAUCUCAAGACUUGCUAACAAUGAACAUUUUGACUAUGUUCACUGUGUAAUAUGUAUGCAUUCUUAAGUUACUGUGGGAUUUUCCAAAAGAAAAAUGAUAAGGGCAUCGAUAACAAUUCAGUCCAAAGAGCACAGGAGCAGCACUGAAGUCAACUCUGGAGAAAGUCAACCGGCGGAAUGAAGGUCCACCAAUGGUAAACAGCCAGGUUGGUGAAGCCAAGCCUAAGCCCAGAUACAAGCUCAACCUCAAGAAGAGUGUGAUUAUGGGGCAGGGGUGAAGCACCUCUUAGGGGCCAUAACUACCCUAGACAAUCUAUGAGGCGUCUUACUAGAAAAUUAUACCAACAAACAAUACAUAAUAAUUCUUGCUAUUACCCUAUAGAGGCCACGGGACAUGGGAAGACAGUGAUUUUUACAGAGUUAAAGAAUUAAUUGACGAAAAUAUUAAUUCUCUUCGUUCCCAUCUAAGUCCUUUUCUCUCCACCUCAGCAAUUUGAUCAAUCUCGAUCAAAUCUUUCUCCCCUUCUCUCUCUCUUGUCUUUUCUCUCUUCUUCCUUUCCAGUUCGUCCCUUUAAUCCUCAUUCUGUGAAGAAUCAACAACUGCAAGAAGAUAAUUUCGAAGCAACAUCAAGUCAAAGGCAAAUCAAAUAGCUGCCAAGGUAACGCUACUUUAUCUAACAUCAUUACGAUUUGAUCAUUUGUCUAAGUCCUUGCUCUUUAAUGUCAGAACUCUAGAUAGCCACCAGACGUACUUUGGAUAUCCAAUAUCCACUGACGGAAGAUUUGAUCGGCCUCAUUUAAAGAUUACUUAUCCCUAAUUUAAAGAAAACUCACAAUCUUAUAUUAUCAAAAUUUGUAGGACCCAGUUGUACUUUGAGGAUCUCCUUCGAUUAGAUAGAAUUCACGGGAUCUGCCAGUCUAAUUCUUAUCAUUGCCAAUCAUCGAAAUUUUAAGUUCUGAUUUCUGUCCCCUCGUCCCACAUCAAAAACUCAUGUUUGAAUUAAUCUCAGUGACACAUUAUGGGGGGCCCAGAACAAGAACACCUAACAUAAGGCAAAACAGAAGGGCUCAAACUAGUGUAGCAGCCUUUUCAUCAGUUACAAGAGUACCAUUAAUGAUUUCAAAGUUUGAUUUCUAAGUUCAGUAUCGUUUUCAAAGAAUAUAUUCGUCAUUAACCGAUUCAAAAUUUCUCCAAUUUUUCCUUCAACUGCAUUACUCCAAAUUGAACUGAAAUAUUAACCAACAAACAAAAGUUAGGAUAAAUGCCACCAUUGACCCAAACUCGAGCUCUUGCAGACCUGUUCACCGUGAGAAAAGAAAAUCCGGUGAUUUAGACGGUAUUCAUCCCUUGACUGAUCUAAUCUUUGUUUAUAUCCCACCAAAAAUAGAAUCUGUCCUAUCUAAAUGUUUCCAACUCAUUCUAUCACUCACCUUCUCAAAAUGAACUUCAACAACUAGAUAUAUUUUACUUCUGAUGUCUUUGGUCAUGUAGACAACAUAUUAUUUUCUUUGAUACACAUCCAUAUACAUAUAUAUGUAUGAACAUAAUCCUAUCAAAAAUAUUGGUUUCUUCAACUUUUUGACGUAUAUUUCAUACAGCAGCUCUUGAAUCAGAUAGUAGGCCUGAGAUUCACAAUCUUUCGGCCUCUUCUUUUUGGGGAAUAGAGCAAUGGAGGUGUUGUCGAAAUUUACCUCAAAAAGUUGGAAUUUCGGCCCUUCUUCUUCAAGCCACAAAUCAUUUAUUCCGUUUUCAUGGAAGCAAAAAUUAAAGAAAAAUGAAUACUCCUACACUUCAUUUUCAAACCGUCUUGACAUUAUGUAUGAUAGAUCAAUCGUAUAAAGCAUUUUCUCUUUAUUCUGAAAAUUAUACGGUCGAAUAUUGAUCUAGGAAGCAGAAAUAUAGGAACUUAGGAGUGGAGGGGCAGAACAGAAUGUUGAAGUAAAAAGAAAAAAUAUACCUUUAGCCUCCAGAUGUUAACUUUUAACCUUCUUUUGAAGAGAAUGGGAAAGUCACAGUGGAGGUGGCGACAGGAAGGAGUUAUUUUUCAGCUGUUGCAGUUACCCUUUUUUAUUCUAACUGCCUAGAGCAACAGUGAGAAAAUACAGUCCCUUAAUUAGCCAAAAUCCAGUUAGAAACUCUAUGAUCCAAGCAAGACUCCAAUUUUUUUCAGAUUCCUUUUAUCCUUUAAUGUUAAUUUGGAUAGGGAUUAGCCCACUGAAAUCAGAAUAAGUCUCCUCUGAUUUAAAUUUUAAUCAGAGCCAGCCCAUUCUUCCUACUAUGGCUAUUUGCCAAUGCCGCUACACUCCACUCUUUUCAACCACCAAAAAAUUUCCAGAACCGAAAUAGGGGGAUAACAAAAAAUGGAACUAAUAGCAUAUGGGAAGAAUUUUCUCCGCACAUAAGUCUGUAAGUUUUAACUUUUAUUUUUUUCACUCUCAAGUUAAUCCCCCAGUGUAGUAUGGUACAUAUUAUUAGCAAAACCUAGUCAAAAAUAUCUACUCAAUCGAAACUAGGUGACCAAAUACAGAUUUUAUUUUACUAAUACCAAUAGAAAAAUUGUACGCAUGUUUCAAAGUCCUCUUCAUGCAUCUAAAAAAUCUCCCCAAAGACCAUGGUUUGGCAUAUGCAAUCAAUUUGUCCUGGUGGACAAGAGAGAAUUUUUUUCUCAUGAUAGUGAUCCCGUUUAUAUAGUUUGGCUAAGUCACGUACUUAAAAGAUUUUUAAAGAUAGCAUACAUUUUAAAUAUAUAACAGAAAAGAUUUUAUGAGGUACAACAUCAUCCAUCUGAGCAUUGCAAGCCAUAAUCAAAUAGGUAAGGACUGUCAGCAUUUGAACUCCCCACACAAUACAAGUAACUCAGCAUUGACAUGAGUUAAGCAAAAGAAUGAUUAAGUCAUGUAAUAAAAGAUUCGAAACAAAGCAGAUAGAACAAUCCAUUCAGAGAAGAAAAGGCGCCAGUGACUACUACUAUGCCAAUAAAUUGUCUCUACGCAGCUAAAGUGAUGAACAUACCAUAUCAUUUUCUCAACCUGCUUUGCAACGUUGUAUUCCAGAUCUGCCUCCUUCUGCUUUGUGCGCCCUGAUUUGGCCAUCUUCUUCGAUUCUAAAAUCCUUGGUAAGACAUAGAGCUGGUAUUCUUCAUGCAAAAGUAUGUACUGCGGAUUCAACAAAAAAGGGCAUAAACAUGCAGGAAACGGAAAAAAAAAAUGUAACUCCGUGAAACGAAAUAUUUACCUCAUCCCUGAACAAAGUCAAAAUUAUACUUUCUUUUAAGGCAACCUGAAAAUAAAACACAAGUUAGCAAUAAAAGCCCUAUUGAUGGAAAAAACUUGGAGAAAUAAAUGUCAGAAUUAUAAAUGGCGAAUAAAUGUUCUUCGUAAAUGGCGAAUUACUGCAGAUGUGUUCUUUCAGCUUAGAGAUGGAAGGCAGCCAUUGCCUAGAGAACAUCCAUAAGCAGCAUCCAGGAUAAGUAUAACAAAAAAUAGCAUUUCAUAACAAAAUUAGCGUUUAAAAGAAUUAACAUAUUUAGCAGCAAGGCAAAGUAAUAUAUGUAACAUAGAUAUGUAUGAAUUAAGACCCACUGAGGAGAGGACUCACAGGCCAACAACGGAUAAUGGUUGGAUAAAAAGUAGCACCAUAUGGAUAUAGAAUUCAUCGAAAAACACAGGAUAUGUUAAGAAGAUAGAGAUGAGGAACAUAGAAAUGGAUGGAAGUUCCAAAAUGUAGAAUAAAUUAUCAGCAAAGUAAACUAUCAGCUGCGACACACCAUGGCAAUGUCAAUGCUUGUUACACGUAGCAGUUCAUCAGGGCAAACAAGAUAGCCCAGGAGAACCCAUUCUCGGUAAGAAGUGACAUUCGCUAAGUCUUGUGCCCUCUGCAAGAGAAUGGAAAAUUAAAUUAGGUUGAACAAAGUCAACAAAAAGACAUACAACCCGAAAGAGUGAAUCUGUAAGUAUCACAGAUAGGGGUAUCCAAGAAAGUCAACAUCAGGUAGCAUUUACAGAAAUACUUACCAUAGGAUGAGCAGAGUUUGUCAGUAUAUCAGGAUACCGAGGGUGAAAUGGACUGAGAAAGCCCUCAUUUCUUAACUUCUUUGUGUCAGUUGAGAGAAAUAUGAAGGGGCCAACAGCCUCCAAAACCUGUUUACAAAUCAUAAAGAUUCAUUUCGUUUUAGAUUGACAUAAACAUGAACAUUACCCUUCAGAUCUCACAAACCAAAUUUCCAUUGUCUGUAUUGCCUUAUUUCGAAAUACAAGUUCAGAAUAGUGAAAGAUACUUGCAAAGUUAUACUGCAAAUUAUUCGACAAAAAACAACUUCCAAGACAGGGAAGCAUUUACCAGCCCCAUGUGAGGACCCAAACGGUUGAGCCUAUUACUAGCCCCACUGCCCGGGUUACUUAUGCCUGGAGAAGGUAGGGUAAGUUGUAUGUAGGCCAAAGGACCCAGUAAGAUAGACAUAACAGAACCCUUGGGAGUCCCACUGUUGGGACACCUUUGCAGAAGUCACAAGGAGAGCGAGGCACUCUAGAAUUCGCCUCAGGACACCUAGGGUUUCCUGUGAGUCCCUCUACGCUGUUUCUCCCUUUCCCUUUGCUGUCUCAGAACGCUGUUGUAGUCCCCUUUCUCUGUCUCUCCCCGAGUUACCCCUUAAUUGAAUCAGGGUUUUAUCACCCAACCAUUAGUCUGCUUUGCCGAUGUCAGUGCAUUUCAUGAACGACAACUUCCCCUUUCCCAUUGUGCAAACAAAAUAUACUGUAAUCAAAACAAUAAGUUGGGAAUACAUGCUAGUUGCUAGCAAACAACUUUUCAAAGAAGCAUGCCAGAAAGUAAGAUCUUAAUCAAAGGUCUAUACAAAGAACAAAUUCCUAGCCAUCCAUAGUGAGCUUUGCCAAUGCAUAGUUGUGCUCCAAUUUCUCAUUAUCUACAGAGUAGAAGCAUAUUUCAGCGAAAGUUCUCAAAUACAAUAAACUUUGGGGCGGGAAAUGUAGAGACAAAGACGAUGGAUCUACAAGCCUACAAGUUCCAUUCCUAUAAACGCAUUAAUUCCUGCAAAAAUCAUGGGACAAAUGAAUUGUGGAAUGCAAAAACAUUUUUAUUUGUACAAAGUAUUAAACACAAACUUCCAAUUCAUGCCAGGCUGACCUCAGUUACUGAUAUUGAAAAUAAAAAUACGACAACCAAUAUGAACGAAUAUUUAAAUGCAAAAUAAACUUUCUUUUUCCUUUUGAACAUAACAUUUUUAAUACAUGAUCUGAAUCGGGAUGGUUACUAAUAAAAACAAUAAAACUGUAAUAGGAACAUAAUUCUUAGGGCAUUAAAAGUGAUAGGAAACUGCCUUUUGCCAAAAUGAUAAGGUGUGACACUUGGAAGAAGCCAAGAUGGUGUAGACCACACUCAAAACACAACCACAAAAUCAAGAAAAUAAUCAUUCAAGAAACUCAACAACCUAACCAUUCUAAAGCAUAAACAAUGACUAGCCUCAUUAUUAAGCAACUUUGGCCGAAAAAGUAUAGUUGUUCCUCUCAUCUCAAGUGGCUCAGAAUAAUGAACAUAAGCCACUGUAAUAACAUACAUUGUUUCUAGUCAUAUUUCAUACAGGAUGAACUAACUUGUUAUCUUGUCUAUUUUUUAUUCGCAUCUCACUAUUUUAUUAUUUAUCAUUUAUUUAAGGCUCCUUGAUGGAUUAGUCCUUAAGAGUCAUUUGAUUAUAGAUCCUCCCUACCGAUCAAAGUUGGUAUUGAUUACAACCUUCCAACGAAAGAGUACACUUAAUUAUUAUUGUCAUGCAGAACAAGCCUUCCAUAUAAGGAUUUCCUUUUAUUUUUCUUUUUCUAUUCUAUUUUUAGAUGUAUUCCUCUUUUCCGUGUUUCUGUUAUUAACCUUUCUGUAAAUAGCGGAAAGGUUGUUAGACACCAAUAUAAAUACUGGCGUACUGCCCUGAGAAGGGUUAGGUCAGUUUUUACUUUUUCUUGCUUCCGCCAUAUCUUGAAACAAUUAUCAUAAAAAUAAUGCCACAAAAUAAGCAAAAUUUAACUUCAACUUCAUAGUGAACAUGAACAAAUUUGGUAUAAAGUGAAAGAUGUUCAUUAUCUAAAAGAUAUAAAACCAUUAGCUAAAUUAGCAGAAGCUAACUAAUAGGCUAUAAGAUUAAGCCCCUUAACCAGUUUCUAUGCCAAAGCCCACUAUAGUCUAUGAGAUGAAACCCAUUUGUGAAUUUUAGGACCACAAACCUUAAUAAUUUAUAGACUAAAACUAUUCGACAUUUUCGGGCAAAACCUAGCCAGACGGUUUGUAUAAGUCAUUUUACAACUUUUGGGAUAAAAGUUCGCUGGCUAGUCUAUGUGAUGAAACCCCUUUGGGACUAGAGCCUAUUAAAUAGUAUAUGAGGUCAAACUCACCUGACCAUGUUUUGAACCAAAGUUCAUUCAACAAUUUAAUCAAGAUCCCACAGGGUCAUAUGAGUUCAUCAAGAUCCUAAAGGGAUGAAGCUCAUUUGGAAAAGCUUAUCCAGUUAUAAAUGUUUUUCAAGAUCCCUUAGGGUCAUAUGAGCUCAUCAAUAUAGGUUAUCUGGACCCUCAGUUUCAGAUCACUCGGGGUGAAGCCUACAUUAGAUUGACAAGGUCAUUAUCACAGAGAUUGACCAUUGGGAAAAAGGCUGACAUUAGGUCACUGAUGUUACUACUAUUAAGUCAAGUCACUGCGUAUGAAGUUCACAUUAGAUUGACAAAGAUGAGCUGAGCUUGCGUAUCUUUUCGUCAGGUAAGGUCUCCCUGACCUUCCUUUCCAAAGCAUCUCUCUUCCUCUUCUCUAUUUUAUAGUACACAUUCUUCUGCCUAGGCCUAUUCCUCCUCUCUCUCUAUAUUCUCUCCAUCCUUUCCCAAUACUUAUUUAUUUUUACAGAAUGCGGACCCCUUUAUACACAGGUCAUGGGGCGCCUAAAGGACGGAAAUGCCCCCAAACAUCAUGAAUACGUUGGGACACAGUGAUCUUCUGCCAUAUCUUUAUAGUAACACCCUCAAGUGUUACUAUCUUUUUGAGAGUAAGCAUGUCUUUCAACAGACACUUCAAAUGAGGUGUUGGCAUGGAAGUGACAAUCUUAUUUCAUCCUUCAAGCAAUUAAGCACGGUGAUAAUCCUGUCUCCCCAAUGGAGAUUUUACGUUCUUGAUAGCAGUUUUUUGAGGGUUGGGGGUCACUGGCGCAGAGGUGUCCUCUCCACUCCUAUUUCGUGUGGCAAUCACCUUGGAAGCAAUACCAAGCAUUCUACAGAAUCAAUUGUAGUAGGUCCUGAUACAGAAUAAAAAGAAAAAAGAGCCCAUCAACCACAUCUGACAACUGCAUUGCAUAUUUUCUCCCACAUUUGAGAUCAUUCAGGAUAAUAGUGAACUUUCAACACUUUCAUAUCCAUCUCCACGUAUCUCUCUUACCCAUACAUUAAGCUUUUGUUCACCACUAGUGUCCAGUAGUAGGAUUCCAGCCCCUCUCACAUCUCUGGAGUUAGAUAUCCUAAUCACUGUAGCAUGAGUAUCCAACACAGUGAUGGAAACAUAUUUUCUAGGGACAGAGGGUUACACUAUUUCUUUCCAAAUAUUAUGUAUCCAUCCCCAAAACAGCUCAAACCCAAGCAUCAUAACAUUACAUACUUCAAAAAUGUCACAAAGUUUUAAGACAUCAGAGAGAUAUUCGAUAAUAACAUUGAGGAAACAACUGGAAUACCAUCUUAUAACGAGCCAAAAGCAUAACCAGAAGAAUGAGAUAGGUCUCUGACGGAGUGCUUAUGAGAAGAUCAUUAAAAACGUUUACUGAAAUAGAUUGCAUGAAAAUAAGUAUAUAGCAAAUAGCAGACCUCUCCAAUACGGGGACUGACAAAAUUAAGAUCCUCCUGUAGACCUUUUACUGGCGGAUCAUAUGAAUCAACGAACUGAACCAACCUGCAAUCCAAGAGGAAAAAAAAAUAUACACAAAUUUCAGACCAAAGAACUGUAAAUUUGGUCAUAAAAGCUAUAUCAAGGAUACAAAUUUAAUCCAUGAAUGUGAUACGACCCCAUCAUCACAUAUGUAAGAAGAAAGAAUAGAAGAAAGAGAACAGACUAUGAAAAACAGCGCAGAUGGCCCAGUUGAAAUCAUAAAAAGAAGCAAAGGACGGUUCAGAUCAAGUCAGAGGACAUAUAUAAGUCGGAGAUUCAACCAAAAGAGGCGCAAAGAGCCAAGUGAAAGGUGAGGAGGGGAUCCUCUCAAACUAGUCGCCACCAUUUUCCCGUUUACCUAUUUCAUGUUCCCAAUUGCUCUGUCUUUUCCAAUAAUAUCAUCGAUUCGAUUCUUUCAAGAAUCAUUUCAAUCAGGUCCUGUUUCAAAAAAAUCGCAACAGAUCUUUCCAAGAAUCGUUCCAAUUGAACCAUACUUGAAGGGGUCGUACCACAGUGUUGUUCCAUUAGAUCAAAAGAACAUUUUCACGUAUUUAAUUCAUAUACCAUCAACUCACAUUGGGAAACUAAAACGCAUAGGAAUGUGUGUAGAAAGGCACACAUCCGAACUUCAUUAAGCUAAAUUACACUGGGAUACAUGAGCAGCAACGCAUCAUUUUCAUUUUCAACUAUCAUUCUCGUCUUUUAUAAUUUUUAUGAGAAAUGAUGAAAAACCAUCAUGCAUAACUAAUUAUAUCUGUACACGCACAUAAAUAAAAAGAUGCGAAAUUUGUUCCUAAGAAUAAGUAAAAUUAUAAACAUGCAAAACUACGUAUAUCCUUGUAUCAUGGGGGUUACAUCACAUAAUCACGCACUAUUUGCCUCAAAGAAAACACUUUCGUUCUCGUUAAGUAAUAUGGUUAGUAUAGGAUACAACUAGACAGAACCUUACAAGUCCACACAGCUUCAUUACCAAUCCGAUUUUCCACCGAAAACAAUCAAUUCCGCAGCAGUCCAGAAGCUUCUUUACCCUCCAAUCGCCAAAGAAUGAAGUUACCACGAGUCAAGGAAUCAUUCUCCGCCCCUUUUUCCCAAUUUCCUUAAGUCAGGAUACUACUGACAUGGGGCAUAUCAUCAGAGGGGCAGCCCCAUAGCAUGUCUUCACUAAUCAGAUGAUCCGCAGCAUCAAGAAGGCCAACUAGGAGAGAAUGAGUUCUCCUCCUGGCUGGAAUUGAUUGUGGCUUCACCUCUUUCCCAAUAGAAUUAAUAAAAAAAUAGUGCGCUGGCAUUAACAGUAUGCUUAAUUUCCAGAUAUUAUCGAUCAGGAAUUUCAGGUAAAACACCAGAAAAUCAGUAUAUAUACCCAACCCCAUCUUUCAAAUCAAUGUUACCAAAUUAGGUGUUUCAAGUACGACUCCACAAAUGGGCCACUUGGGCAGCUGUGUACCCGAAACUCAAUGUAACCACUCCCCAAGAGUGAAUGCUUAUCGGGCCAAAUAGGCCACUUGGGCAGCUGUGUACCCGAAACUCACAGAGUACCCUCUUCAUGAUCAAUUCCACCAGUAACAGCAUUUUUAAUCUCUAACUACAGAGAGAGUAGCAUUGAAACAUAUUAUAUUGGUGGCCAAUAUGUUAACUUUUUCCAAAUAGAAAUUUUUGAAGCUCCUCUUCCCUCCAAAGGUGAGAGAGAAUAAAGAAAGCUCGUAGAGGUAGAUGGGUUUUUAACCAAGUUAGUUUUUUUUGAUAUGUUAGUUUGAUAUGUGAUAUUUUUUUCAUUUGCAGGUUUAAUCAUGUUAUUGCAAGAAAAAACCUAGCUCAAAAAAGGAACGGUAAAUAUGAUAGAUGUAAAAAUAGUCUUCCUCCUUUUACUGCUAUUAAGGCUAGAUUAUUAUCUCGAUGAUAAACUCAACUAAGUUUACUGCGGAUUAAUAAAAUAUGCAAAGAGCAUCUGUCUGGGUCAAAGAGAAGCUUGGCCACGAAACUCAAACAUACUAAUAAAAUAGUCUGUACGAAUGUAGGUGGAAUAAUAAUAGACAAGAAGUCCAAUCGGAAAUUUGGAAUUUCAGGGCGUUGAAAAUUUAAAAAAAAACUAAUUUUAGAACUAAAAUUUGCCUAAGCACCUCACCUUGCCACUUUGGUGUCAGAUAGUGGAUUAUCACCUUUGUCACCUUAAAACCCUAUGCAAAAUAGCGGCAUAUAGUUCUUUAAAGUUUCACAGUAAAAGGAGAUAAACAUAAUUUCUUGGGCAAAUAUAUCUUCAUAAAAAAAACUAAGGCACUCAUCAAGCUAUGUAUAGUCAGUAUACUUGCUGUCAUUAUUCAUUCGCAUGUCCUUUCUACUAAAUGAAAGGAUGAAGGAAAGCUUGAGGGAAAAAAUCAUAACACUGCAAUAAAAUGCAUGUAAUGUAAACAAAGUUUCAAGGUAAACAAAAGGUUUAAGCAACAAGUUAAUUUGCACGACAAUGUAAUUAAUUUGAAAGGAAAAUCCAACCUGUGGUAAAACUCAAAGUCUCGACCACUUCUUGACAUGCUAUGCAAAAGGUUAUACAUUUGGAUUAACAUUUUCCUUGGGAUCUGUAGGCAGAAUCAUAAGCGUUAUAUUUGAUAGAUAAUGCAUUAAAAAAGAGAAGUACUUGUUCAACAAGAAACUCUUCAGAAGAAAAUUUCAAGAAACAUUUGAAAAUAGAAAAUCUGGAAAAACGGCAUAUGAAGAAACACUUGCCUUAAUCGAAAAUAGAUUUACUCGAACAAAGGAGCAAAAGAGAUCCAUAAACGCAUGGAGGAUCAAAGAAUUCUGAUGGGGCUGAAAAAACAGAUCAAAUUGCCUUCAUGUAACAGUUAAUAAAAUUUAAAUGCAUCACUAUAUAAACUAAGGUAAGCCAUGUCCUCAUAUCUGAUUCACGUAUAAUUCACCAUAUGCAUAACAUAUCAUACUGAUGAGGGAAAAUAACUAACCAGUAGCGUGAUAACAGUACUACUUAAGUCCAAAAUGAGCCGCAAAGCUUGUUCCCGAAAUGCCAUCAAAUCAAGAAGAAACUGAAUUCAAUCAAAGAUCAUCAUUAGCUUACGACAACAUGAAAGUCAAAUAAUUGUUUUCGUACUUACAUAAUUAACAUACAUAAAAGGAAAUUAACAAUAAAAUUUCAACGAACAUAUAAAAGAUGUAUUAGAUUCACUCACAGAAGCACAUGAACAUGAUUCUACAAUCGUUCUUAAUUACAUUAGCUGUCCUAAGAGGUAUGGACUACAAUCAACAAUUAAAUUUUCAUCAUCCUCUUUUGGGAGGGAACCUAGACAAGAAAGUUUUUCCUUCGAAUUUUUAUCCAGCCCCCAUCAUUCAGCAUUUAAAUCUUCCUAGAUAUAUUAAGAAUGCAGAAGAAAUUACAUUAAUACCUGUGAUCAGUUUUUUUGUCUAUGGUUAAAAUGACUGGAUUGCAGGAAGUUGAGUGCAAAUCAUCAGCAAUGUGUGAACGUUCUUAUUCUUCCAGUUACAGCCUAUAGGGUCACUGGCAGCAAUCAUUCCCAGUCACCAGCAACCACCAACCCAUAAACAGCAGCUCUGGUGUUUAUAAGAUUUCCCUGUCCAAAAUAAAUUUACCCUGGGCAAUCCCAAGAAAAAUCAGGACUUGCCAAUACUGUGUAAACAUGGCCUGGUUAGUGAUGAAGCUUCCAGAUGCGGACAUGCUGAGAAACUUCCCUCCUGCCUUGAACACUGACUCUACAUUAUGAUCCUACAGUCGACCCUCAUCUACGAUGUUGUCCCCCUUUUUUUACGAAGUAAAUCCAUUCGUUUUCUCUUACCGCAUCCAAAACACAUAUUUGCAGGCCAGUAGAUCACUUAAAUCGAGCAAAUUAAUAUCUAGAAACUUUAGAAUUAAGUGCUCUCAAGUCUGAGGACAAAGCUCAUGAGAUAUAAUCCAAAGUAGUUCUUGGAAAACCCUCAGUAUUUGACUUACGCAGUGACGACCAUCGACUUUCAGAGAGCCUGAUAUAUGAGGACCUGGAUGCAAUACUCUGACUACAUGAACGACGGUUUGCAUUCCUAAUUUUGCCCCCAAUAUUCACAGAACCAUUGUCUACCAGGGACUUUAUUCGUGGAAUUCAUAGGAUAAAUUUUUUUUUCCAUAUAGCCUAGCAUUAGUUACAAAAUCACACCCUCAACUCAAUUAACAUUGUAGAAAGAUGCACGUAAAAUUACAAACUUAUCAAUUUUCUGCACAUUGGACAUGGGGAUGGCCCAUUACAUUAAAUGGAAUGCCAACUUUGACUCUAGUGAACAUGACACAGGGAAUAUGCACGAGGUCAAUAAAUGUUUUGUGCCCUGUGAAAAAAUACCACUUCAAUGAAUGAAGUAGCAUUGUGUAAUCCAUUAUUACUAGUAGAUUACUGUCAUGGGGACAUUAAGACGAAAGCACAAUGAAGCUUUCAAAUAAUUCCCUAAUUAUGUUCCUACUUUUUCUGGCAUUAAAAUUACAACUUGUUCAAGUACAGACCACCCUUCCAAUUCAGUCUAGAAGACAGGAGAGGACAUUGAACAGCUAUAAGUGGUACUACAACUAUGAGAUUAAUGAUUUACCAACUUCUCUUGAUAAAAGACGUCAAUGACAUUUUCAGAUAGCAUUCAUUGGUUUGAUGCACCUUUGGCAAAAGGAAUCCCACAAUGAACACUAGUGAGUCCUGAGCAAUGUGGUAAGGAUAUUUUCAAAACAUUGUGUACAUAGCAAGGUUACUAUCAGUAAACCGAAAAUGGCAUCAAUGCAUUGUACAGAAAAAACCCAAAAUUUUUGAAAACUUUAAGUUCACACACGUACAACAUAUGCCAAGUUAACCAUCAGUAUGAAAAGAAAGCAACACAAGAAAGUCCGGACAAUGGAAAACAGCAUCAAACUUUCUUCUGAGACAAUUUUGCAGGGACAAGGUGAGGUUAGUAGCACAAACCAUAACCCACGGUUCUAGAUUCUGCAAAUAGACUUCAGCAUUUUCACUGAGAGAGUCGAAUGCAACCUUGUCAACCUGCAUGACAAAACAUGUAAAAAUAGGGAGAGGCAGGAAAUUCUCACAAGCUGAAGACACUAACCCGUUCUAGUUGCAAUUUACUAGGAUGCUCCGGAAACUUCUUUGACAUCAGUGUACAGAUUCUUGGGUAGUUAGGAAGGAUCCCCGCUUUCCAAAAAGAUUCUGAAAAUGUAUGCGAGGCCAAAUCCGGACAGUCAAGUUGUUUGUUCAAUCGGUACAUUUUAGUCAAUAGGCCUUCAGCAACCAUGGACAUUUGAACAACCCGUUCCAUAUGAAGAGCCUUUUGAGAGUAUGCCGAACUUGGCUGUACAUCAAAAGCUCUAUGCUUCCAGCUGUUAGAUGUCGAAGGAGAAGAACCUUCAGGAGGCAGAUACUCAGACCACCUUGACAUGCUAUCCCACUCUCUGGACUUUGUAGAGUUUGGAGAAGUCUCCUGAUUAGAAAAUUGUGAUCUGGACCUCGCCAUGGGUGAGAGACUCUGUUGAUGCACAUGAUUCAUCAGAGAAAGUGAUCAUGUAGCUUCAAAACUGAUACACCAACAGAAAUAAAUAUUAAACCGAAUAUAAACACGAGGUUUUUUGUCACGCAAGAAUAUAUUAAAGGAAAUUAAUUGUUCCAAGGCCAUGAGGAUGAUUCUUUCCAUUAUCCAUACGUUAUUGUAGAGUACGCACAAGAUUCUUAACCGAAAAAUUCAUGGUUUCAUUCCAUUCUCAAGAAUAAAUUUAUCGCUUCUUAAGCGCUAAUAGCAUAUACCCAUGAAAGUUUCCAUCAAAGGCAAGAAGAAAAAAAAUUAACCCGUAAAUGGAGUUUUUUGGUAGUACUCACGAAUCAUGGGAUCUUUGUAUGGCGGAAAUUACACAAAAAAUGGAUAUUAUUAACCCCACUUGCCAUUUAAAACCCACAAGAAGAAAUUAAGUUAAGUAAUAUCUGAAGUGGUUCAGAUGACUCUCUAUUUCUGUAAGAAAACCCAAAAGGAGGAACUGACGAACAUUGGAGAUUGUGACCUAAUGCUACAGAUGAUCACUCGUCUGAACACUACUCACGCGGCAGGGACAAUAAAAAAUAAUGCCAAAACUUUGCUGACGCAAGGGGAUGAAAUCCGCUGUCACUUUUCAGGCGUUGCUUAGACGCACUGCAGAGGAAACCAACUUCUUAUAGCUCCCAACUAUAUGGCAGCCUUCUCCCGACUUCAAUGAAGGCGACCCUGUUAUGAGCAAUUCACAAAUUCAUAAACCUCCAAUAGACAAGACGCAAGAAGCUGCAAAAUCCUCAUUCGUCUUCCUUUGGCCCGUGCAGCAUCGGAUCCCCAAAGAUGAAGAAACUGUCCGCCACAAGUCACCACUAUUAUUAUCACCCCACCAGAUGCACUGACUGUGACGAAAGGGGAACCCCACCCAAACGAGAAAGGAAGAUGGGGGCAGUAAUUGACCGAAGGGAGGUACAUUACGUUCGGCGGCUCCCCAAACCAUCCACUGUGGCUCAAUCACAAAGAGAAACUGUCCGCACAACAACGGAUCUCAUCCCGAGAAAAUCCCGGGAAAGGGCAGUACCUGCAGGAGCACAAGCCUCGGACCAGGACGAAGAGGAGACGAAGAACGGACGCCGCUCCAAGCUGGCGGUGGAGAGGGAGAUCAGGAGGGGCAGGUGCAACUGAGAUCCAGUUCCCCCUCACGGUAGGACGCUGGGCUCUCGGAGGGAGCCGUUGCAGAGCGUUGAUGGUUCAUUCACCAUGCGUUAGGCACUAUUUACUCUCUCUCUCUCUCUCUCUCUCUCUCUCUCUCCCCCUCUUUCUCUCUCUAGCUGACGUGCGCAUCUGAGUCGUAGUGGACCCGCGGUCUUCGCAAGCGGCCCACCAAAACGAGGAUUCCAUUGUGCGACCAGACGUACAUAACGCCUCCACCAUUCAGAUGCUUACACGUCACUGAGAAGUCAAAACUCUUUCGCCACGUGGACCCCUUUGUCUGCCACGUCUACCCCUCCACUGCCUUGCCAGCUGGGUCAUAACCUUGGAUCAUCGCAGCAGCCUACCUUCUGAAGCCCCCGCUCUCUCAGGCUUAAAAUAACCUCAAACUUAGAGAUAAAUCCCAAAGAAUACUAAUUAUGAUAUGUAUAUAUGACGUCAUUGGUGCGUUAAUUCCCCCUCAAAAAGUCCCGAAUUUUGGUUAUUUUGACCAAAAUUUUCCUCAAGGGAAUAAUUAUAAUUUUUUUAUUUACUCGAGGGGUUGAUAUUCCAUAUUUUCACUAAAAUCUACGGAUCGACGAAGGCGGGCCACGUGGAGGCGUCCUCGCUCUCCGAUCGGCGAUGGACGGGGCCAGUGCCGAGCUAUUCUCAGUCCGACGAGCUGAAAUGAACCGAGGUAUCUAGAUCUUGCCCUGUUUUUAGGAUAGGAAUUGUGUACGAUGAUACCUCCGAUGAUCCUCGUGUUUUCUUCAAUAUCUUCCUGGGAAAAGAGAAAUCCGCAGGCGAAGGAGGAUCAGAUCGAGCAUCGCGAGGUUGACGAAGAUCAAAUCAGGUCGGAGAAUUAUCCGCAAAAAAUAUAGAAAUUGUGAGGAUGACAGAGGGUAUGAUAUUGUUUUGGUCGAUGAUGGUCGCGUGGAGAUCCUCCUGAGGGGAUUUGGGAGUUGGAAGCGUCCUGCGGAGGAACGUUUUGGAGAGAAAAUUCCUCAUCUCUUCGUCUCCAUGGCGGUCGCGCCUCUCUCCUUUCCUCUCACGGCCGCCACCUGCCGUUCAGGUUGCGCUGCCUCAGAGGCCCGGUUCUUCUUUCCAAUGCGUCGCCGGCGGAGGUGGCUCCGCUCUCGAUCCCCUUCCUUCGUCCCCGCCGUGAGGGCUCUCAGGGAAUGGCGCGAGUACGAAGACGCCGUCAAGGAGAAAGACCUCGCGCGGGCGCUACGCUUCUUGAAAUCCUCGGAGACCCUCCCGCUCCAGCCCCUCCCUCGUUCCGAGUCUGGAUCAUCAUCCUCGUCUCCGUCGGUGUCCUAUCCGCCUGACCUGCUUGCGUGGCCCGAGAAGGACUGGGAUGUGCUUGACACCUGCCUCAAUGCAGACGACAUGAGGCUUGUCGGCAUGGCCUACUCCCUUCUGCAGGACCGGGGACUGCUGGCCAAUUUUGGAAAGUGCAAGACUAUUGGUAUUGGACUACAACCUUGAUGAGACUAUGGUUCCUGGUUGGGAACCCGAUGAAUUUGAUGAUAUACGUCCAUCACUCUUGCUCUUUACCUACUUUUCCUGGCAUUCGAUGUUGGCUUGCAAAGUUUCUUGAAAAUUCUAAGUGCGGUCAUUUUAUGUGUUUUCAAGCCUAAAUGCGUGAUUUGGGACUUCACACUGAGAUAUGUACUCUGGAAUAAGCACUUUGAAUCUGGGGGAUAUGUAUUUGUCAAAUGAAUUCAGUGUCAAACUUUUGAGCCUCGAAUUAUCCUGAGACAUUUUUGGUGUAAUUAGCUAUGUCACUGGGUUUCAUUUUCCACCUGGUGAUUCUUCAGUAGAAGUCUUAAAAUGGGAGUUCAUCUUAUUUUACCACAAAUUCCGCUCAAGUUUUACAACUAUCUUAUAAUAUGGAUAUUUAUGAAGCUGAUGUAUUUCCUGAAGAAGUCCAAAAUCUUUUCAUAGCUUUGUGUCACUUGAGGAAAGUAAAACUUUCAGAGUUAUGUUGAUUGUUCCAGCUUUCCAAGUAGUGUUUCCUCUAGGCUUUGAUACAUUUCCUGUCAGCAUCAGAAAGUGAUAGUUGUGCAAUGUUUCCAUAAAUGUACUGUGUAUGCGAAGAGUUCUGAGUGUCUUGUCCUUCAGACUAUGAGAAAGGAUUUUGGAAAAGAUACCAGAAUGGCAUCAUUAGUUUACUGUGUCAUGUUUCUGGUUCUAUAUUCACUAGUGGGAGCCAUCAGACUGUAGGAUUGUGUUUCUUCUUUGAACUUCUGUGGUUCUAGUGAAUUGGAUUACUGUGCUGUUCCCAUAUUUUCAAUCCUUUUGUUCCUUUGUUUUUCUCCAUACAGUCUUACAUUAGGUUUCUUGGCAAUUAUUUGUCGCUCCCUUUGUGUACCUAAACUGAUUGAAUUGGCCAUUAGUUUUCCUGGUUCUGUUUAUAAUAUAAUUUAUCAAGUUUUCGUUAAUAUACUGCCGGAAAAUUCGUUGAAUUCGUUUGUUUAUGGUGUGACUAGGUUGAAAUGUCUCUUGUAUUUAUUAUCUUUCUCAAUUUGAAUUAGUUUUGAUUUCUAUUUUUAAAGUUUUACCUAAAUUUCCUUUUCAUUGUUUGCAGUUUUGGAAGGACCAAGGGAAGUCACUCCGACUGCAUUGAAAGAAUCGACUGGAUUGGAAGGUUAAUUUCCAAAAGUUAAAUAAUUUGCUUGGGUUAUUUUUUAGAAAAUCUGCUGGUCAAUAUGCAGUUGUUCUUAAUUCAAUAUAGUGACCUUAUCUGUCUGAAUUCUUUUUCGUCACUCUUAUUCAUCAUCUCCCGAGCUCGUCAUGCUAAGCUAUCAAUUUCUUCUUGCAGCCUAUAAGUUUGCGCCAAAGAAGUGGGGUCUUUCUGGGAGCUCAAGAACUUUGUUGAUUGCUUCCCUGGCAGGGACGUCUUUUCUGGUUUACCAAGGGAUUGAUAUAAGGCCUAACCUGGCAGCUGUUUUGGCUUUGGUGGGGUUAGAUGCAAUUUUUCUUGGUGGCAGCUGCCUUGCACAGAUUUUCUGCUUUUGGCCUCCAUACAGACGUAGAGUCCUAGUUCAUGAAGCCGGACAUCUGCUUGCUGGUAAUUCGCUAAAGAUAGUGCUCUCGAUCUGUGACGACAAGUUGCAUUAUUCAAAUUAGACUUUGGUAUCUGACCUUAUGAAUUCCUAUAUGUGAUAACGUUGAAAAGGCAGUACCAUGUUUGAUGGAGAUUUUGAAACGAGAUUCAGAGUUUUUACUUUUACUUACUGUCUUGAGGAACUUGCUGCAUAAAAGUAGUCCCCUGAAUGCUUGCAUCAUUCCUAUGGUACAAACUUCAUCCAUAAUUUUUUAUUCCGCAUUAGUGAUGCGGUGUUGACUUUUAUGCAAUUCAUUUAUUUCUACGCAAUUUCCGAAAGUGGGAAUUAGAGAGCUAUUUUCAGUUCUCCAUUUUUCUGUCUGUGACUUGCACUACUUACCGUUGCACUGUCUCGUAAACAUGCAGCAUACCUUAUGGGUUGU
RNAcentral lists this long non-coding RNA (42353 nucleotides) under Spirodela polyrhiza (greater duckweed). Its description in RNAcentral is "long non-coding RNA (SPOL_LNC002534)". The stretch from base 2845 to 2918 matches the Rfam family "tRNA". The record is from RNAcentral. Lineage: Eukaryota; Viridiplantae; Streptophyta; Magnoliopsida; Alismatales; Araceae.